This 253-nucleotide ribosomal RNA is filed under the name uncultured bacterium. RNAcentral describes it as "partial 16S ribosomal RNA". It matches the Rfam family "Bacterial small subunit ribosomal RNA", at positions 524 to 776 of the family's 1533-position model. The record is from RNAcentral.
UACGUAGGGUGCGAGCGUUAAUCGGAAUUACUGGGCGUAAAGCGUGCGCAGGCGGUUUUGUAAGCCAGAUGUGAAAGCCCCGGGCUCAACCUGGGAACUGCAUUUGGGACUGCAAGGCUGGAGUACGGCAGAGGGAGGUGGAAUUCUCGGUGUAGAGGUGAAAUUCGUAGAUAUCGAGAGGAACACCGGUGGCGAAGGCGGCCAACUGGACGAAUACUGACGCUGAGACUCGAAAGCGUGGGGAGCAAACAGG